AACCCCGCACCCACCAACUCCUCUUCCGCCGAGAAAUCAGCCGCCAUUCCUCCUAGCCUCUUCUCCAAGUGCCUCCCAUCUCGCUGGUCGCAUCUCGGCGUUCCGAAACGGACCACCACCGUGUGCCAGACGACCGAGGGCCCAGCCGUCGAUGCUUCUCGUCGACCCGUUGCGCCGGCCUCUAGGAGGAAGACUUCUAUGGUCUUGGAGCUCGGAGGCCGCAGUAAGGGAAGGAGCGCCACCACGAAGUGCAGACACCCCAACAACCGGCGGGGCGUCACGCUGGGCCACCGAGAGGCGUGGGGCUUCGUUGACCCUAUGCCGAGGAGAUGUGCUGACCCGUCGCGUAGAUCUUUGUAGUGGUGGCCCCAGCCAUCGAUGGCCAAUCGUUGCAACGACCUCCUAUCUCGACUGGCGGCGGUCAGUGUUGUGGACUACGGGGGUCGAUGUCGUCGCCGAUCAGUGUUUUCCCCAUCCACCGUGCAUGCUGGAGGUCAAUGGCAUAGGGGCGAUGACAUGCUCGUCAUCCCCUCCCACCGCUGCUUAUCUGGCGUACACGGAUGGCGUCGAUGUGUGCUAAGAUUGGAAAAGGGCGGCCAUGGAGGGAUGGAUGUGCAGGAUCUCCGGCGAGCGCUGGGUGACGACAAGGGGGUGGCAAUGGUUGCAUAGUGCUUUAGGGAGUAAUUUGUAAUUUUAUUUUUUAUGGUGCACAUUUUGAUUUUGGUGGCAUUUGUCAUUUAUUUUUGUUGAGUGAUAUUGCCUGAGUUAUUAAAAAAAUAACUGAUGUGACGAAAAUGUUAAUUUUUUUAGGGAUGAAAAUGUUAAUUAUGGAUAUUGAUUUGGAUAGAAUUUGUGGGCUGAA
Molecule: long non-coding RNA, 862 nt
Organism: Triticum dicoccoides
Lineage: Eukaryota; Viridiplantae; Streptophyta; Magnoliopsida; Poales; Poaceae
Exons: 2
Source: RefSeq, a predicted model, not a curated record